AAGGGCUCGCAGGCGGUUUCUUAAGUCUGAUGUGAAAGCCCCCGGCUCAACCGGGGAGGGUCAUUGGAAACUGGGGAACUUGAGUGCAGAAGAGGAGAGUGGAAUUCCACGUGUAGCGGUGAAAUGCGUAGAGAUGUGGAGGAACACCAGUGGCGAAGGCGACUCUCUGGUCUGUAACUGACGCUGAGGAGCGAAAGCGUGGGGAGCGAACAGGAUUAGAUACCCUGGUAGUCCACGCCGUAAACGAUGAGUGCUAAGUGUUAGGGGGUUUCCGCCCCUUAGUGCUGCAGCUAACGCAUUAAGCACUCCGCCUGGGGAGUACGGUCGCAAGACUGAAACUCAAAGGAAUUGACGGGGGCCCGCACAAGCGGUGGAGCAUGUGGUUUAAUUCGAAGCAACGCGAAGAACCUUACCAGGUCUUGACAUCCUCUGACAAUCCUAGAGAUAGGACGUCCCCUUCGGGGGCAGAGUGACNGGUGGUGCAUGGUUGUCGUCAGCUCGUGUCGUGAGAUGUUGGGUUAAGUCCCGCAACGAGCGCAACCCUUGAUCUUAGUUGCCAGCAUUCAGUUGGGCACUCUAAGGUGACUGCCGGUGACAAACCGGANGAAGGUGGGGAUGACGUCAAAUCAUCAUGCCCCUUAUGACCUGGGCUACACACGUGCUACAAUGGACANNNNAAAGGGCAGCGAAACCGCGAGGUUAAGCCAAUCCCACAAAAUCUGUUCUCAGUUCGGAUCGCAGUCUGCNACUCGACUGCGUGAAGCUGGAAUCGCCUAG
This 777-nucleotide ribosomal RNA is filed under the name Bacillus sp. ML-06. RNAcentral's name for it is "bacterial SSU rRNA". It matches the Rfam family "Bacterial small subunit ribosomal RNA", at positions 563 to 1338 of the family's 1533-position model. Lineage: Bacteria; Bacillati; Bacillota; Bacilli; Caryophanales; Bacillaceae. The record is from RNAcentral.